CGUGUAGGCGGUCAGGUAAGUGGAAUGUGAAAUGCCCCGGCUCACCCGGGGACCGGCAUCCCAAACUGCCUGGCUUGAGUAUGGGAGAGGAUGGGGGAAUUCCUGGUGUAGCGGUGAAAUGCGUAGAUAUCAGGAGGAACACCGGUGGCGAAGGCGUCCAUCUGGCCCAAUACUGACGCUGAGGCGCGAAAGCUAGGGGAGCAAACGG
RNAcentral lists this ribosomal RNA (208 nucleotides) under uncultured Latescibacterota bacterium. RNAcentral describes it as "uncultured Latescibacteria bacterium partial 16S ribosomal RNA". It matches the Rfam family "Bacterial small subunit ribosomal RNA", at positions 568 to 775 of the family's 1533-position model. Lineage: Bacteria; Pseudomonadati; Candidatus Latescibacterota. The record is from RNAcentral.